CACAGAAGAGGCACAGCCACAAGGCUGCUGCUGCAAAGGACGACACAGGCAAAUGCAGGCUCCCCGCUGGAUUGCCCCUGCCUGACACCCCAUGCUGGCAACCAGAGGCUGAUUCUGCCCGACUGCCUCCAGCUCCUCGAGUGUUCAGCCUGGGUUCCAGAGGGAGGCCAUACAGCCCCGUCAGAGACCACCAGGGAAGUAUCACAGACCGCAGCCAGCGGGUGAGCUCAGCUGGGAGUUUGCACCAAGCCUGGCUCCGGAGUGUGGCCUGACUGACGCAGGCUGGGACCACCCUACAUGGGCCGGCAGGUGUGGAAAUGGCCAUAGCGAACUACCGUGCGUCCAACCUGAGACACCUGGGGAUGGUGGAGCCAGGGGAGA
This 381-nucleotide long non-coding RNA is filed under the name Homo sapiens (human). RNAcentral's name for it is "HSALNT0027428". Lineage: Eukaryota; Metazoa; Chordata; Mammalia; Primates; Hominidae. The record is from RNAcentral.